Long non-coding RNA from Engraulis encrasicolus (European anchovy), 755 nucleotides. RefSeq lists it as uncharacterized. Lineage: Eukaryota; Metazoa; Chordata; Actinopteri; Clupeiformes; Engraulidae. The transcript is spliced from 4 exons. The record is from RefSeq and is a predicted model, not a curated record.
CUUUCAUCGAGUAUUUGUUUUGUUUCAAUUCGCCUUAUUCACCCGGAACUUUCUAAAGACGUUGAGGGGUACACUUCAGGGGUACACCCGGCUGCACACCAGCUGUUUGGCGCCUCACUGCUGUGUGCCCAAAUGUAGUCCUACGUCCUCAAAGAGAAACAAAUCCUACCGUGGACAGACUUUCCACCGUUUCGCCAAAGAGCAGGCACUUCGGCGUGAAUGAAUUAAUCACAUGAAGAGGGAUCCUGGUCCAUAUUUCAAGAUCAACGCUGAGACCGAGGUUUGAUCUGAGCACGUUGAGAAGCAAUGCUUUGUUAAGGUCACCCGUGGUAUGACAACGCUAAUAAAGGAUGCUGUGCCUGCCAACUUUGUUCGCCUGGACUUCAGAGAAGCCAAAGAGGAGAAUCAUCAUUCGCAUACCGUGUAUGGAUUCCAUGGAGUAUUCCAUCGAGUAUUUCUUCUGUUUCAAUCGUCUUGGUGGAGUUUUUGAGCUGGAUCUGGAUUCUGCUGAGGAUUCGUCGACUACUAGAUGGCGAGCCACCCACUCAUUCGAAUGUGAUCCUGUUCUACAUUGCGCAUGGCAUAUUUGGUAGGAUUGUGGCCUGCUCGUGUCACAUCACUGACUGACUGACUUCAACGCCUUGAACUGAACUGCUUGAAAGGAGCUGUUUUUCUUUUUGAACAACUUAAAGGAACUCUCUACAUCGUCUCUUUUGAGGAUUUAAAGGACUAUUUCCAAUUUUUGAAGGACAAUU